GAUCAUGGCUCAGGACGAACGCUGGCGGCAUGCUUAACACAUGCAAGUCGAACGGAGAUCUGUAGAAAAGCUUGCUUGGAAACAGAUCUUAGUGGCGGACGGGUGAGUAACGCGUGAGGAACCUGGCUCACACAGGGGGAUAACAUAGGGAAACUUAUGCUAAUACCGCAUGAGACCACGCUAUCGCAUGGUAGAGGGGUCAAAGGAGCAAUCCGGUGUGAGGUGGACUCGCG
This 233-nucleotide ribosomal RNA is filed under the name uncultured bacterium. RNAcentral's name for it is "partial 16S ribosomal RNA". It matches the Rfam family "Bacterial small subunit ribosomal RNA", at positions 15 to 235 of the family's 1533-position model. The record is from RNAcentral.